AGCAGCCGCGGUAAUUCCAGCUCCAAUAGCGUAUAUUAAAGUUGUUGCAGUUAAAAAGCUCGUAGUUGAAUUUCGGGGUCUGUCCAUCGGUCGGGCUUUUUCGGUCCGCACUGUUGCGAUGGAUUCCUACCUUCUGAAUAACCGAUUUGCCAUUAAUUUGGUGGGUCGGGGAAGCAGGACUGUUACCUUGAAAAAAUUAGAGUGCUCAAAGCAGGCUAGUGCCUGAAUACAUUAGCAUGGAAUAAUAAAAUAGGACGGCAUGGUUCUAUUCUGUUGGUUUCUAGGAUCACCGUAAUGAUUAAUAGGGAUAGUUGGGGGCAUUAGUAUUCAAUUGUCAGAGGUGAAAUUCUUGGAUUUAUUGAAGACUAACUACUGCGAAAGCAUUUGCCAAGGAUGUUUUCAUUAAUCAAGAACGAAAGUUAGGGGAUCGAAGACGAUCAGAUACCGUCGUAGUCUUAACCAUAAACUAUGCCGACUAGGGAUCGGACGAUGUUAAUUUUUUAAUGACUCGUUCGGCGCC
This is a ribosomal RNA of 520 nucleotides. It matches the Rfam family "Eukaryotic small subunit ribosomal RNA", at positions 569 to 1087 of the family's 1831-position model.